This 253-nucleotide ribosomal RNA is filed under the name uncultured bacterium. RNAcentral describes it as "partial 16S ribosomal RNA". It matches the Rfam family "Bacterial small subunit ribosomal RNA", at positions 524 to 776 of the family's 1533-position model. The record is from RNAcentral.
UACGUAGGUGGCAAGCGUUAUCCGGAAUUAUUGGGCGUAAAGAGCGCGUAGGCGGAUUUUUAAGUGAGAUGUGAAAUACUCGGGCUCAACUUGAGUGCUGCAUUUCAAACUGGAAGUCUAGAGUGCAGGAGAGGAGAAUGGAAUUCCUAGUGUAGCGGUGAAAUGCGUAGAGAUUAGGAAGAACACCAGUGGCGAAGGCGAUUCUCUGGACUGUAACUGACGCUGAGGCUCGAAAGCGUGGGGAGCAAACAGG